AAACAAAAGAAAAACCCAAUUUUCCCGGUAAGAAAACAGACAGCCGAUUAGUGAAAACCCAGAAACGAAACUAUCGAAGACGGGAGAAUGAUUUCCGUUUGCUCCGCUAGAACAAUUCAAGCUUCACCUUCUCCUAUUCACUUCUUUUUCCCUCCAAAUCGUAGAAGAAUCGGUUCGAAUGUUCUUCGAAUUUCCUCCAAUUUCUCCACUAGAUGCUCCUCCGAUUACGAUGAAUAUAGUGAAGCUCAAUCCGAACGGAUAGCCAAUUACGCCGGAACCAGACUGGAAGAGACCGUGGACGUCAAUCCCGGUAAAGUUCGUCUCGAUUCUUGGAUUUCUUGCCGCAUUAACGGCAUCAGUAGGGCUCGAGUUCAGUCCAGUAUUAGAGCGGGAUUAGUUUCAGUUAAUGGCCGAGUUAUCGAUAAGGUUUCUCACAAUGUAAAAGCUGGGGAUGUGAUCAAUUGUACCAUAUCCGAGUUGCAACCAUUGAGAGCUGAACCUGAAGAUAUUGAUUUGGAUAUAGUUUAUGAAGAUGAACAUGUUUUAGUCGUAAACAAACCUGCUCACAUGGUUGUUCAUCCAGCACCUGGAAAUGCGACAGGAACACUAGUAAAUGCCAUUCUUAACCACUGCAGUCUCCCGAUGGUUGCAACAUCAACUGGGGAAAAUGAGUCGGAUUCAGAUGUUUCCGAUGAUGAGUUCAGUUCAAUUGGAGUUUUUUCUAGAGUUUCUGAGGCGCCUAUUCGUCCUGGUAUUGUGCAUAGGUUAGAUAAAGGAACUAGUGGAUUGCUUGUUGUUGCCAAGGAUGAACAUUCCCAUGCUCACUUAUCUGCUCAAUUUAAGCAACAUUCUAUUGAGAGAGUUUAUAUUAGUCUCACAUGUGGAGUUCCACCUUCAACUGCUGGGCGUAUUGAGAUGCCAAUUUGCCGUGAUCCAAACAAUCGUAUCCGCAUGACUGCAAUAGAUGGAACAAAAAACAAUCCACAUGCAAAGUACGCUGCUAGUAGAUACAAUGUUAUGGAAAUUUUAGCCCAAGGAGGUUCUUCAUUGGUUGAGUGGAGAUUAGAAACAGGCCGCACACAUCAGAUACGUGCACACGCGAAGUAUAUGGGAAUACCAUUACUUGGAGACGAGGUCUAUGGAGGUACCAAGAGCAUGGCCAUGUCGCUGCUUCGAACUAGAGCAUCAUCUAAUUGUCACGGCCAGCUCAUGCAGCUUGUUUCUUCAUUAGAGAGGCCCUGUCUUCAUGCUCUGACUCUUGGGUUUGUACAUCCUCACACAGGGAAGAACAUACGUUUUUCAUGCCCACCCCCAACAGAUUUUACUGAAAUUUUGAGUCAGCUUCGCGAAAUUGGCACACAAAAGUGGCAGGUUACCAAAUCUUAGCUGGGAGCCUCCAGUAUCUGGCAAGUAGACUCGUCAAAUGACUCGAAAAUGAGAUAUCAAGAAGGAAAUGCUCCGAUUGCCCAAUAACUCGAUAUUGAAAUUGAGAUGGAGCAGCAUGCAACAAUAGCAUAAGGUCAGGAGGGGUGUUUCUUCUAUCCAAACCAUCAUGUAAGGUAUCUAGUUAGGGAUAUUAGUAAUAGUAUGGUAUUUGUAAGGGUUAGUUAGAAGUUUGCGUAGUUGGUUAUAAAUAGAGGGAGGGGUGCAUACUUUCCCUCAAUUCCCCUAUUCUCCUCCUAUUUGUAACCAACUAUAUGCUAAUUUCCUAGCUAACUACACUUAUGCCCUUACUAAUACAAUACUAAUACCCGGACCUUAAGUCUACCUUAUCGUUAGUUGCUUGUGUGAAACAUAUGCCUACUCCCCAUGUGCAAUGGAGCCUCAUAUUCAACUUAAUAUUGAUGGUAAGCCACCAUUGCAAUUAAACAUUCGAUUGCAGUAGAAACUCCCUUGAGUGAGUUCAAGUUGGGAGUUUGGGACAUUACAAGUUUAUGAUGGUGAAGAAGUCUGACAAGCUCUUCUUUUUCGAAAAGCCAUUGAUAGGAUUAUGAAUUUGAUUGAUUGAUUGGAUUAAAAUGGAUUGAAUUUGAAUUUGAUUGAUUUUUUUAGAUUCAUUUUUACUAAAUGGAUUGACUGGAUUAUGUGAGAGUUUGACUGAAACUGUGUUGAUUGAAAUAAUGUAAUUAUGAAAUUUGUUGGAUGA
This is an RNA transcript of Cucumis sativus (cucumber), 2146 nucleotides long. It is a transcript of the gene named RNA pseudouridine synthase 2, chloroplastic, with no coding region annotated. NCBI's taxonomy places the organism in Eukaryota, Viridiplantae, Streptophyta, Magnoliopsida, Cucurbitales, Cucurbitaceae. The record is from RefSeq and is a predicted model, not a curated record. The transcript has 9 exons.